This 427-nucleotide ribosomal RNA is filed under the name uncultured bacterium. RNAcentral describes it as "partial 16S ribosomal RNA". It matches the Rfam family "Bacterial small subunit ribosomal RNA", at positions 355 to 774 of the family's 1533-position model. The record is from RNAcentral.
UGGGGAAUAUUGCACAAUGGGCGCAAGCCUGAUGCAGCCAUGCCGCGUGUAUGAAGAAGGCCUUCGGGUUGUAAAGUACUUUCAGCGGGGAGGAAGGUGUUGAGGCUAAUAACCUCAGCAAUUGACGUUACCCGCAGAAGAAGCACCGGCUAACUCCGUGCCAGCAGCCGCGGUAAUACGGUGGGUGCAAGCGUUAAUCGGAAUUACUGGGCGUAAAGCGCACGCAGGCGGUCUGUCAAGUCGGAUGUGAAAUCCCCGGGCUCAACCUGGGAACUGCAUUCGAAACUGGCAGGCUAGAGUCUUGUAGAGGGGGGUAGAAUUCCAGGUGUAGCGGUGAAAUGCGUAGAGAUCUGGAGGAAUACCGGUGGCGAAGGCGGCCCCCUGGACAAAGACUGACGCUCAGGUGCGAAAGCGUGGGGAGCAAACA